Molecule: ribosomal RNA, 465 nt
Filed under: uncultured bacterium
Lineage: Bacteria
Description: partial 16S ribosomal RNA
Rfam family: Bacterial small subunit ribosomal RNA
Source: RNAcentral
UACUAACGCUGGCGGCGUGCUUAACACAUGCAAGUCGAACGGAAAGGCCCCUUUGGGGGUACUCGAGUGGCGAACGGGUGAGUAACACGUGAGUAACCUGCCCUUGACUUCGGGAUAACUUCAGGAAACUGGGGCUAAUACCGGAUAGGAAUCCUUGCUGCAUGGUGGGGGUUGGAAAGCUUCGGCGGUUUUGGAUGGACUCGCGGCUUAUCAGCUUGUUGGUGGGGUAGUGGCUUACCAAGGCUUUGACGGGUAGCCGGCCUGAGAGGGCGACCGGCCACAUUGGGACUGAGAUACGGCCCAGACUCCUACGGGAGGCAGCAGUGGGGAAUAUUGCACAAUGGGCGGAAGCCUGAUGCAGCAACGCCGCGUGCGGGAUGACGGCCUUCGGGUUGUAAACCGCUUUCAGCAGGGGCGAAGCUUGUGGUGACGGUACCUGCAGAAGAAGCACCGGCUAACUACGUA